This 1422-nucleotide unclassified non-coding RNA is filed under the name Zea mays. Its description in RNAcentral is "misc RNA Zm00001eb139540". The record is from RNAcentral. Lineage: Eukaryota; Viridiplantae; Streptophyta; Magnoliopsida; Poales; Poaceae.
AUACAAUCGCAAAUAUAUUAUGACGUGUCUGCAAGUGCAUCCUCACUGCUAUGGGGCACACACGCUCUCUUUCGCUCUCUGUUAAUUGACCAACUUUCUCUGUCAUCCUCGUCUUCCCUCGCCACAAAACACCAUCUGCUCUGCUCUCUCCCUCUGUCUUCCCUUCCUCCUUCCCAGGAACUCCAUUGCACUAUUUCCACCCCAAGAACACAGCACAGAGUCGGAUCCGAAUCCACAGGAGAGGCAGAAGCACAACUCACUCCCCACUCCCUCCACCCAUCAGCUAGCCAUGGGCAAGGACUGCGGCAAACACGGCGACGACGACCUCCGGCGCUCGUGCAGGCGCCUGCUAGCCACCAUCGUGGUCCUCGCGCUGACCGUGGGCGUCGUCGCGCUGAUCGUCUACCUGGUGCUCCGCCCCACGCACCCGCGCUUCUACCUGCAGGACGCGUCGCUCCGGCAGCUGGACCUCUCCAACGCCACCACCAGCACCAGCACCCUGCUCUCCACCGCGAUCCAGGUGACGCUAGCGUCGCGCAACCCGAACGAGCGCGUCGGGGUCUACUACGACCGCCUCGACGUGUACGCGUCGUACAAGUACCAGCAGCUCACGGUGGCGGCGUCGCUGCCGCCCGCGUACCAGGGCCACGGCGACGUCGGCGUCUGGUCGCCGGUGCUGGCCGGUCCCAACGUGCCCCUCGCGCCCUACCUCGCCGACGCGCUCCGCCAGGACUGCCAGGCGGGGUACCUCGUCCUCCAGGUCAAGGUCGACGGCCGCGUCCGCUGGAAGGUCGGCAGCUGGGUCUCGAACCACUACCACCUCUUCGUCACCUGCCCGGCCUUCCUCGUCACCGCCGGUGGCAACGGCGCGCCCGGGGCCGCCGGGUUCAGGUUCCAGACCACCACCUACUGCCACGUCGAGGUCUAGGUCUAGCCGGCCUCUUGCCUGUCUGUGCUGCUGUGUCGUCCGUACUCCGUAUACAAACAGAGGCCGCCGCCUGCGAAGGAAACAGAGAGACAAAGGCCUGCCUUGCGCCAUGUAUCAUGGGAUGGCUGCCUGUCUCCCUCGCUCUCUCUAAGCUAGCUGCACUGCCUGCAUGCUGCUGGUGUGCAUGUUAGUGCUGCAGUGAUGCGGAUGUAAAGGAUGGUAAAAAAUUUCUGCUUUUCUUCUUCUUUUCAGUAAGGUUCUCCUUUAACGUACGAUCAAUUACAGUCGCUGUCUUCGUCGUCCCAUUAAUUAGCUCGUUGUAGCGUCUUUUUAGAUGAUCAAUUACAGUUGAAGGGGUAGUAGUAAUUUCUAUGUCCAGCCGUUUCAGUGAGACUACUUUCAACACAGAGAAAACCGAUUGUACCUUUGCCUGUCUCUCUUAAUUAAGUCUUAUAACUGAUUUGGUGACCAGGGAAUUGAAUAGAAAUGAAAUU